GAAAAACUACCCUCCAUACUUGAAUGAUGAUAUAUGGCAUUUGGAGAAAAUUGCAAAGGAUGGAAAAAUCCACAAGUGGCUCUCUUCCCAUGGAAUUCACACUGUUAAGGAUCUCCUACAGCUAUACACAACCGAACCAUCUUCAUUAUAUGUGGCGGAGAGAAAGCACAGAUGUUGAAGACUUGUUUAUAGCUCACAUUGUUGGAAUGGACACAAUAGCUCAUGGAUUCAAGAAUGCUGCUAAGUUAAUUGAG
Arachis ipaensis is the source of this 254-nucleotide non-coding RNA. NCBI's taxonomy places the organism in Eukaryota, Viridiplantae, Streptophyta, Magnoliopsida, Fabales, Fabaceae. The record is from RefSeq and is a predicted model, not a curated record.